UUUCCCCCUUGGACCUCAAAACUUUCAUAGAACCUUCUUCAUAGUGAACAAAUAUUACAGUGCACUGAUUCAAGGAUACAGAUGGAAAAAUGUCAAACUACUCAACCUGACGUCCCAAAAAUGGUCCCCAGAAGGGCUCCUCCGAAGCAGACACUCCGUAGCCUUAUUUAUGUGGAUUCUGACAAGAAGGUCGUGAGAAGCCAUUGCAAGAAUUUCAGGAAGCGCUAAAACCUAAAAGAAGUUAGGUGACACUUUGAAGGUCACAGAAAACAAGCCGGGAAUAUGUGAACUAAUCUAGGAUGUUAAAUAUCUUUUUUUUUUUUUUCUUGAACUUCACCUGAAACUCUGAAGGAAAUCCACCUCAAAUCAUAUUGGAUGCUUACCUGAGAUGGGUACACUAUUGUCCUCAUGCAUUCUGUAAGUCCUGGCCACACAAGCACUCUAAGAAAA
Molecule: long non-coding RNA, 450 nt
Filed under: Chinchilla lanigera (long-tailed chinchilla)
Lineage: Eukaryota; Metazoa; Chordata; Mammalia; Rodentia; Chinchillidae
Description: lncRNA (ENSCLAG00000028282.1)
Source: RNAcentral